This 254-nucleotide ribosomal RNA is filed under the name uncultured bacterium. Its description in RNAcentral is "partial 16S ribosomal RNA". It matches the Rfam family "Bacterial small subunit ribosomal RNA", at positions 524 to 776 of the family's 1533-position model. The record is from RNAcentral.
CACGUAGGGUGCGAGCGUUGUCCGGAAGUAUUGGGCGUAAAGAGCUCGUAGGCGGUGUGUCGCGUCGGCCGUGAAAACCUGCAGCUUAACUGUGGGCUUGCGGUCGAUACGGGCAUCACUGGAGUUCGGCAGGGGAGACUGGAAUUCCUGGUGUAGCGGUGAAAUGCGCAGAUAUCAGGAGGAACACCGGUGGCGAAGUCGGGUCUCUGGGCCGAUACUGACGCUGAGGAGCGAAAGCGUGGGGAGCGAACAGG